UUCGAUUCACAACAAGCCUCCAAAUGAGGAUCCAGAAUCAACGUUGGGUCGUCGAAUUAUAAACGACCCAAAAAUUCGUUGGGGAAAUGUGCUCAAGGUACAUGGAGAAUUUUACUAUCUUCCUCAUUAUUGGGAGUGGUUAGAGCUCGUUGUUGCUAGAAAUACGGCAGUACUCAAGCGAGCCUCCCUAUUUAAUGCUGUGAUGGCUUCCCUAUAUACAUAUGAUCGCAACAGUGACAUUGAUCGGGCUUUCUGCGAGGCAUGGUGUCCUUCAACAAACACUCUUCACACCUCAGCUGGUGAGAUGUCCAUCUCCUUAUGGGACUUAUGGAUACUAGGAGGACUCCCGAUUAAAGGUAGAUUUUAUGAAGAAAGCAUUCCUUGCCACCAAGACUUAAUAGGAUCACCUGAUGUAUGUCCAAGAAGUUGUGAGCAUUUAUUUGCAGCCUAUUACCGCAUUGUUUCUCAACGCAUGGAUCACUCUCAAACCACUGUAAGUGAAUGGAUCUCUUUUUGGGUUACACGAUCUGAGGUAAAGUAUUCGGAACCGCCUCCUCGAAAGCCUAAAAAGACUUCUCGCCCUCGCUCAACUCAUAAUCCAGAUGGAAUUCCCAUCAGACGUCCUGACUGGUCUAAAGCUGAACUCAAAGUGUUCCUUGACUUAAGCGUCACUGAUGAUCAUAGGGACAAAACCUAUCUAGCGGCAUUUCUCUCUUGUUGGCUAUGUGUGUUUGUGUUCCCUGAUAAGCAACUUUCCCUUCGUCCGGAGGUUUUUAAGGUUGCUAGCCUCAUGGCGGAAGGCUACACAUUUA
Molecule: long non-coding RNA, 812 nt
Filed under: Cucumis sativus (cucumber)
Lineage: Eukaryota; Viridiplantae; Streptophyta; Magnoliopsida; Cucurbitales; Cucurbitaceae
Description: long non-coding RNA (CSAT_LNC000699)
Source: RNAcentral